This 253-nucleotide ribosomal RNA is filed under the name uncultured bacterium. RNAcentral's name for it is "partial 16S ribosomal RNA". It matches the Rfam family "Bacterial small subunit ribosomal RNA", at positions 524 to 776 of the family's 1533-position model. The record is from RNAcentral.
UACGUAGGGUGCGAGCGUUAAUCGGAAUUACUGGGCGUAAAGCGUGCGCAGGCGGUUCGUUGUGUCGGCGGUGAAAGCCCCGGGCUCAACCUGGGAAUGGCCGUUGAAACUGGCGAACUGGAGUGUGGCAGAGGGGGGUGGAAUUCCGCGUGUAGCAGUGAAAUGCGUAGAGAUGCGGAGGAACACCGAUGGCGAAGGCAGCCCCCUGGGCUGGCACUGACGCUCAGGCACGAAAGCGUGGGGAGCAAACAGG